GACGAACGCUGGCGGCGUGCUUAACACAUGCAAGUCGAACGCUGAAGCUCAGCUUGCUGGGUGGAUGAGUGGCGAACGGGUGAGUAACACGUGAGUAACCUGCCCUCUUCUUUGGGAUAACGCCCGGAAACGGGUGCUAAUACUGGAUAUUCACUGAUUCUCGCAUGGGGGUUGGUGGAAAGGUUUUUUCUGGUGGGGGAUGGGCUCGCGGCCUAUCAGCUUGUUGGUGGGGUGAUGGCCUACCAAGGCUUUGACGGGUAGCCGGCCUGAGAGGGUGACCGGUCACAUUGGGACUGAGAUACGGCCCAGACUCCUACGGGAGGCAGCAGUGGGGAAUAUUGCACAAUGGGCGAAAGCCUGAUGCAGCGACGCCGCGUGAGGGAUGGAGGCCUUCGGGUUGUAAACCUCUUUCGCUCAUGGUCAAGCCGCAGCUUUGGGUUGUGGUGAGGGUAGUGGGUAAAGAAGCGCCGGCCAACUACGUG
Molecule: ribosomal RNA, 482 nt
Filed under: uncultured bacterium
Lineage: Bacteria
Description: partial 16S ribosomal RNA
Rfam family: Bacterial small subunit ribosomal RNA
Source: RNAcentral